Colossoma macropomum (tambaqui) is the source of this 1481-nucleotide long non-coding RNA. RefSeq lists it as uncharacterized. NCBI's taxonomy places the organism in Eukaryota, Metazoa, Chordata, Actinopteri, Characiformes, Serrasalmidae. The record is from RefSeq and is a predicted model, not a curated record. The transcript has 4 exons.
UGAGGGUAUCUUUUUUCGGGGGUGUUCUAAAGCAGUGCUGCCUAAAAAAUUCAGGCAGUAUUUUCGCCACGCAGGGAGUCCACGCCGCGUUACAGGCCGCCACACACAAACCGAUAGCUCGUCAGGAGACAGCAGAGCGGACAGGAGAGCAGAAAUCUCCAUCACAUCUGGACGCGGCGGCUACGUAGACGCUGUACUGGACACGAAACCUCGCCUACCAGCUGAGGAUCCAUGUGAAUAUUCAUAUGGCAGCUGAGUGCUGCUCAUGUAGCUUCAGAUUCAGAAUGAAACAGAAGCGUUCACACGGCUGAGAGAUGAUGGGCUGCUUUGAUUUGCAGCUGGGUCGGUGCUGUAUUUGAUAUUUGAAGAAAAAGAGGAAAGAAGAGUUUUGCAUGCUUGAUACGAUUUGCAAGGAUAAGUGUCUGAAGACCAGCAGCAUCCAGACAUCUACAACACUCUUGUAAUUAUCUGAUCUGGAAUCAGACCUGAACAAGUGCACCGGGCAGAUCAGAGCGAUUGGAGAGACUGUAACAGAGAGAACUCCAUAGGCCACCCACACUAGGAACUGCUCGUCCAGCCCGGAAUGUCCAGAGAGCCUCACUUUCUGGCAGACAGCCCGAGUGUGGACCUGUUGCAGACGGAGACCGGUUUAUUGCCUGCUGUGCCAGCAGUGAGGCACACACUCGGUUCCCGUGAGCUGACCGCCAUCACACACACCGCACUGCAGUAACCUGCGUGCAGCUGUCACUCGGGUCACUGCAGCGACCGCCGGCCAGCAGGAAAGGACAGCCAUGCCUCUGAGUCUGGGCAAGUCUGGACUGGAAUUGCACUGAUGCAAGGAGAGAGGGGAGGGUAGUGGAAAAGAGAGAAAGGGAAAGUCCAGGAUGACUUUUCAGUACAAGUCUGCAGGAAAACUCCACCCUUUUCCUCCAAAGACUGCUGGCCUUUACCCCAACACGGCGGCUCACUAGAAUAAGAGCGAGCAGGAUUACUCUGCCGAGGAGUGCGCACUCACAUGCUUGGAGAGAAUUCUGCACGAAACAUGUGGAUGACAGCCUUUGCUCGGCCGGCACUGAAAUGUCAAAAACGCUGAGGGGUAUUUCCUACAGCCGUCGCUGCAGGGAAAAUCAGACAGCUAACACUCGCACCCACGCGCACAAAGCACACUGACUGACUGGGUUUUGCAACAAGCUGGACAGGUGUGCGUGUUUGAGUGGAGCCAGGAGAGGAUGAGAGGCAGACGCUUUUGAGAUUUUUGGACUGGAGCUCGAGGCGCACCCCUGCUGGAGAGAGAGAGAGAGAGAGAGAGAGAGAAAGAGAGGGCGGGCAAUCAGCAGUGGAAGCUGACACUGUUGAUGUGAACCACAGACAGAGAGAGAGAGAGAGAGAGCGAGACAGCGCCACUUCCCACCCUCAAGCUGUUUGUGUGCGUGUGUGUGUCGGCUGGCUCCGAGGGCACAGUGGCAGGGGCCGGUGCAUGG